Corynascus novoguineensis is the source of this 117-nucleotide non-coding RNA. NCBI's taxonomy places the organism in Eukaryota, Fungi, Ascomycota, Sordariomycetes, Sordariales, Chaetomiaceae. The record is from the annotation of a GenBank genome assembly.
GGCUCAAUGGUCUAGUGGUAUGAUUCGCGCUUCGGGAUGCAUAUGAGCUUCCCUUGCUUGCAAAACAACAAGCAACAAAGAUGUGCGAGGUCUCGGGUUCGAUCCCCGAUUGAGCCC